Non-coding RNA from Cinara cedri, 1133 nucleotides. Lineage: Eukaryota; Metazoa; Arthropoda; Insecta; Hemiptera; Aphididae. The record is from the annotation of a GenBank genome assembly.
UUUAAAUUUAUAGCAAUAACAAAAAGAGUCGAUACUGGGGAUGAGUGCUGACACUGUUGUAAGUGGGUAGUGGGGAAGAUGGGAUACAUAAGACUAUUUCAUUUAUAUCUGUAAGCAAUGACAAACCAUUGCUGAUGAAAGACGAUUCCGAGCGCAGUUCGGUAAUACAUAAUUUAAAGUGCCGUAAUUUUUUUUAACCUAACCUUCUUACGUUUUUUCCCGAUUAUUAUGAAAACUAAUACAAAAAUCAAAAAACCGAACUGCAUCAUUAAAAACAAGAUUAAUAAUUCAACAAAAAAGGUCCCUUGUCGUUUUUCAAUUGGAUUCAUAUUUGUGCUAGAAAACGUGGUAGGUACUUAUUUAAAAUAACGAAAUCGUGAAAAAAUCGCAUUUCUUUUCCCGGUUAAUUUUUUUUAUUUUAAAUAUCGUUUCGAAAAUCAAAAAAAAUUUCGUUCGUGUUUUUAUAAAAUAAUGAAAUCGUGAAAUUUGACGUUUUUUCCCACUUAAGUGCUUUUAUUUAAAAUAUGACGUCUUUAAAAUACCAUCCAGACAACAUGAGCUUUCUAAAAAAAUUACUAGGAAAAAAUGUGUCAACAGACUAAAAGAAAAAAUAAACAUCUUAGUACAAAUAAUAGCUCCCUCGCUACGCACGAAAUCUAAAAUGUAAAUAUUAAAAAAAAGCUAAAUUUCAAAUAAUUGAAAUGCAGAAUAAGAAUUUAACUUAGAAAACUUUAAACUGCUCUCCUGAAAAAUUAUUUCUUUCUUCGUUGAGAACAUCGAAGUAUAAAAACUAGAUAGCUAACUCCGUAUACAAUAUUACGUUGCCUAGCGCUAUUUGUCAUUUGGGAAAUGUUUUCAAAUUUUUAUAAUUUGUAUGCUGUCCUAAUCACAGACAAAUAUAUUUAUGAACUACAUAAUACAUAUUAUAAUUGACUAGGUAUAUAAAGAUUAUAUUAUUUUUUUGCAAUAAACUUUUGACUGAGAACAUUUUUUUCUGGAUCAAAUCGUAUUUAGUGAAUUAGAUUGUCAUAAGUAUUUUAGAAAGACCCCCCCAGAAGUUGAUAUUAACUACUUCAUUAACCAAAAAGUACCCGAGUGUCAGACUUAAAUCGUUAGGAAAAACAUUUUCAAAC